Molecule: non-coding RNA, 488 nt
Organism: Pelobates fuscus (common spadefoot toad)
Lineage: Eukaryota; Metazoa; Chordata; Amphibia; Anura; Pelobatidae
Source: the annotation of a RefSeq genome assembly
GCAAACAGGCUGUGUUUUACCACUGCAGGAAAAUGGCACAUGUAUUUAUUUUUCUUACACUCUGUUUUAUAACUUGUGCUCAGUGUCAGAUUACAUUGAUUCAGUCUGGAAAUGGACUUGUAAAACCAACAGAAUCUCUUAAACUCACCUGUAAAGUUAAUGGAUAUACCAUAAACAGUGGUGCAUGGUGGAACUGGGUAAGACAGCCAACUGGUAAAGGACUGGAGUGGUUGGGAGUUAUCAAAAAUGAUGGAAGCACAGUAUACAAUUCUGCUCUGAAGAACAGAGUGACAAUCACCUGGGACAUUUCUGAAAAUACGUUUUAUCUGCAGCUGAACAACAUGAGUCCAGACGACUCUGCCACAUAUUAUUCUGCUCGGCACACUGUGAAGAAAUCAUGCUAUAUCUGUCAAUUAACAUCUACACAUCGUUUCCUUGGAGGAACAAGUACUUCCUGGAUAGAUUUGACAGAUAACGUAUCCCGGUGA